AACGAUGAAGUGGAGCUUGCUCCACGGAUUAGUGGCGAACGGGCGAGGAACACGUGAGAAACCUGCCUCGGAAUUUUGGGGAUAAACAAAUGGAAAACGUUUGCUAAUACCAAAUAACGUCGGAGAGUCACAUGACUUUCUGACGAAAGGAAUUCCGAUUCGAGAGGGUCUCGCGGCCUAUCAGCUUGUUGGCGGGGUAAAUGGCCCACCAAGGCAACGACGGGUAGCUGGUCUGAGAGGAUGGUCAGCCACACUGGGACUGAGACACGGCCCAGACUCC
Molecule: ribosomal RNA, 280 nt
Filed under: unidentified marine bacterioplankton
Lineage: Bacteria
Description: partial 16S ribosomal RNA
Rfam family: Bacterial small subunit ribosomal RNA
Source: RNAcentral